RNAcentral lists this ribosomal RNA (408 nucleotides) under bacterium enrichment culture clone ALO1_GLFRUDD03G0736. Its description in RNAcentral is "bacterial SSU rRNA". It matches the Rfam family "Bacterial small subunit ribosomal RNA", at positions 9 to 417 of the family's 1533-position model. The record is from RNAcentral.
GAGUUUGAUCAUGGCUCAGAUUGAACGCUGGCGGCAUGCCUUACACAUGCAAGUCGAACGGCAGCACGGGAGCUUGCUCCUGGUGGCGAGUGGCGAACGGGUGAGUAAUGCAUCGGAACGUAUCCUGGAGUGGGGGAUAACGUAGCGAAGUUACGCUAAUACCGCAUAUUCUGUGAGCAGGAAAGCGGGGGACCUUCGGGCCUCGCGCUCUUGGAGCGGCCGAUGUCGGAUUAGCUAGUUGGUGAGGUAAAGGCUCGACCAAGGCGACGAUCCGUAGCAGGUCUGAGAGGAUGAUCUGCCACACUGGAACUGAGACACGGUCCAGACUCCUACGGGAGGCAGCAGUGGGGAAUUUUGGACAAUGGGGGCAACCCUGAUCCAGCCAUGCCGCGUGAGUGAAGAAGGCCU